RNAcentral lists this ribosomal RNA (471 nucleotides) under Everettia sp. MULU. RNAcentral describes it as "partial 16S ribosomal RNA". It matches the Rfam family "Bacterial large subunit ribosomal RNA", at positions 1796 to 2620 of the family's 2925-position model. The record is from RNAcentral. Lineage: Eukaryota; Metazoa; Mollusca; Gastropoda; Stylommatophora; Ariophantidae.
UCGCCUGUUUAACAAAAACAUAGUUUUAUGUUAAUUAAUAUAAGAUUUAACCUGCCCAAUGAUUAUAUUUUAAUGGCCGCAGUACUUUGACUGUGCUAAGGUAGCAUAAUAAAUUGGCUUUUAAUUAAAGUCUCGAAUGAAUGGAUUAAUGUAUAUUCACUGUCUUUAUUAAGUGGUUAUUAAUUUACUUAUUAGGUGAAAAUUCCUGAAUAUAAAUUUAAAAGACGAGAAGACCCUAGGAGUUUAGAGGAGGAUUUUGUUGGGGCAACAUUAUAACAUAUAACUUAUAAUAUAACAUAGUAUAUAACGAGAUAUUUUAAUUAUAAUUAAACUACCCUAGGGAUAACAGCAUAAUUUAUUAUAAUAAGUUUGUGACCUCGAUGUUGGACUAGGGACUUUUGAUAUUAAAUAUAUUUAUUGCUUGUUCUGUUCGANCAUUUGUAUACCUACGUGAUCUGAGUUCAGACCGGA